Molecule: ribosomal RNA, 492 nt
Filed under: uncultured bacterium
Lineage: Bacteria
Description: partial 16S ribosomal RNA
Rfam family: Bacterial small subunit ribosomal RNA
Source: RNAcentral
AGUGAACGCUGGCGGUAGGCCUAACACAUGCAAGUCGAACGGCAGCACAGUAAGAGCUUGCUCUUACGGGUGGCGAGUGGCGGACGAGUGAGGAAUACAUCGGAAUCUACUUUUUCGUGGGGGAUAACGUAGGGAAACUUACGCUAAUACCGCAUACGACCUACGGGUGAAAGCAGGGGAUCUUCGGACCUUGCGCGAUUGAAUGAGCCGAUGUCGGAUUAGCUAGUUGGCGGGGUAAAGGCCCACCAAGGCGACGAUCCGUAGCUGGUCUGAGAGGAUGAUCAGCCACACUGGAACUGAGACACGGUCCAGACUCCUACGGGAGGCAGCAGUGGGGAAUAUUCGACAAUGGGCGCAAGCCUGAUCCAGCCAUACCGCGUGGGUGAAGAAGGCCUUCGGGUUGUAAAGCCCUUUUGUUGGGAAAGAACAGCAGCAGGUUAAUCCCCCGCUGUUCUGACGGUACCCAAAGAAUAAGCACCGGCUAACUUCGUG